This 283-nucleotide long non-coding RNA is filed under the name Rhinopithecus roxellana (golden snub-nosed monkey). RNAcentral's name for it is "lncRNA (ENSRROG00000045907.1)". The record is from RNAcentral. Lineage: Eukaryota; Metazoa; Chordata; Mammalia; Primates; Cercopithecidae.
UUCUCAUCAGUUCAGUAAUACAAUGCCCUUCAGUGUCCAUAUGAGCAUUUCAGUGGAGAAGAAAAGAAACUUUGCUACCUGGGAACUGAAGACUACUUAGUGAAGAUCCUGGUGUUACACAUCCAAUUGUUCACCUCCUUCCAAGACUAUGACAUUCCAGGAAACCUUCAGUGCUAAGAGGAACUGAUAUCUAGAGUAUCUCCUCGAGGAAGUACAACCGGUAAGUCCUCACCAGUGAGUUUAACGUUUGUUUCUAAAAUGUACAAAUAACAACAAAGAUCCC